Molecule: unclassified non-coding RNA, 318 nt
Filed under: Hevea brasiliensis (rubber tree)
Lineage: Eukaryota; Viridiplantae; Streptophyta; Magnoliopsida; Malpighiales; Euphorbiaceae
Source: RNAcentral
UACUCGCUCGCCUCGUUCUUUUCCCGUGUAAACCCUAAUCUGUCAUCUUCUCUACUAGUGCAUCAAUGGCUGAUUCUGCGAUUUCUCUUGAGAAGCUAAAAGCUUUUUGGCACUCUCAAAUUCACGAUGAAGAGAAGUGGGCCCUCAACAUGAAAUUGCUUCGAGCUGGUGGACUGUUCGCAGGAUCCAUUUUUCUGAUGCGGAAUUAUGGUGAUCUCAUGGCAAUAUAAGAGUGGAUGGCCACUUGCAACCUUCUGAUCUCGUAAUUCCUGGUGUAUUAGUAAUCUGUAGGAUUUUCAGCUAUUUUUUCAGAAAGAG